UGAGCAGGCUACCUUAUCGCUGCUUCUUUCGAGAAGGAGAGGAAAGUCCGGACACCAUAGUGCAUUGUAGCGGAUAACAUCCGUCCGUCGUAAGGCGAGGACAAGUGCAGCAGAAAGUAUGUACAGGUAAUGCUGUAGUGAAACCAGGUAAACUCUACGAGGUGCAAUGCCAUGUAAAUGAACGCUUGAGGGCGGCACGCUCGAUGUUCAAGGGUAGGCAGAUAAAAGUUAUGAGUAAUUGUAAUUUUAGAUAAAUGAUAAGGCUCGACAGGAUCCGGCUUACGGCCUGCUUUUUUA
This 297-nucleotide RNase P RNA is filed under the name Kordia aestuariivivens. RNAcentral's name for it is "Kordia sp. YSTF-M3 RNase P RNA component class A". It matches the Rfam family "Bacterial RNase P class A". Rfam says of the family: Ribonuclease P (RNase P) is a ubiquitous endoribonuclease, found in archaea, bacteria and eukarya as well as chloroplasts and mitochondria. Its best characterised activity is the generation of mature 5'-ends of tRNAs by cleaving the 5'-leader elements of precursor-tRNAs. The record is from RNAcentral. Lineage: Bacteria; Pseudomonadati; Bacteroidota; Flavobacteriia; Flavobacteriales; Flavobacteriaceae.